CGCACGUACGAGCGACGUCACAUGAGGCACUCGAUCCUCUUCUCGCGAUGUGCUCCCGCUCCAUCCCCCCCUCCGCCGCCGCCGCCCCCCACCACUCCCCUGUCUCCGGCUCAGCCACCUCCACCUCCACCACCCCACCCUUCUCUCCAUCGCCCGCGGCACUCGAUCCGGUGCCGCGCCGAUCUGGCGGUGGGUGCGGCGUCUUGCUCCGGUGGCGACGACGUCCUUAUGAUCCAGAGAAAGAGAGACAGGGAGUGGGGGAGCCCAUCGCCGCCGCAACAUCGAUGACCGCCCGCGCGUCUCAUUCACCUCCAAGCUUCGACGACGGCAGAUUAGCAGCCCCUGCGGCCGCGAUGACCCUGGAUCUACGGCCACGGCGGUGCCAGCGGCCCGACUCGGUGCAGGACGCAACUAACCCUAGCUGCACUGGGAGCUCGGCUCGCCUUCCCCUCCGUCUCCGGUGGACAAACGCCUCUUCUUUCGCUCCGCCCUAGCUAUGGUAUAAGCUCCUCAAAAGUCUACUUUCUCUCAUGUGCUCGUGUGCCCACGACCAUCCACCCGUGGCCAAUCAAUCUUACGCUGGCCAUCACGCCAUGGCAAGUUCUAGGAUUUUUGGCUUGUGCGGAUGCCCUGUCAUCCAAAGAUCUGUGCUUGUUGUGUCAUGUACGUAUAAUACAGUAGUACUAAGUGUCACCGUUUAGUGGAUUUAGGCCUCAAUCUCAACAUCAUCGUUUGAUUCACAUGGUUCUUAUAGAUGUGUGCAACUUCUGUGCAAGUCAUCCAAGAUGUAUCUUUGCUUCUUUUAAUUUUUUCAGUUGCUUUGAUCUCGAUAAGAUGACUGUGACUGCUCUGUCGGAUGGGUUUGGAUCACUUGUCCAUUUCCAGCAGGACUCACUGUGAUUAUUCACCUAACCCAAUGUUGCUGAGGACAAUUUUGAUUUGAAGUUAGCAAUGCAAUCAGCAGCCAGUUAUUUAUAUUCGGAAAACGAGAAAUCUCAAGCUUGCUUAAGCAAAGCAAAGUAUGUGCCAUACUGCCAUUAGCUCUUCACAGUCAUGGUUGCCCAAUUCUGGACUCUGUCAAUUCAAAUAACUGCACCUUUGGUCCUGACAUAUCAAGUAAGGUGUUUCAUGUUGUCUAUUCCACCAGUUCCUUCAUUUUGAGAUAGUGCCUAAAAGGGUUGAUCUUAUUGUCUUCUUUAUUUUAUAAUAACUGGCUCCACUGAUUACGUAUUUGCUCUGUUUGGCUUGCACUUUUAUUGCAUAUUCUUCUCUGACUUUACUACUUAAUGUAUCUUCGUGUGCAUGCAGGUAGACUGGGAUGAAUCUGCGCCCCACCGAUCUUGUUGGGUACCCUCCUAUUAUGAAGAAGCCUAGAAUUUCUAACACAAUUGCACCUCUAUGAUCCGGAGAUGUUGGCAUGUCAAGUUUUUGCUGGGACCACAUUGUGUUCUCUUCUGUCGGCAGAUUAAAUGAUGAAGGCGUUGACACUUUUCCCCAAUGUCUGGGCAAAGUCCAGAAAAAUGGUGGGACACCAUCUAAUGAGGAGCGGCAUGUUGUACCAGGUUUAGAAGCAUCAGGUUCAGAAGGCAGGGGCGCAGACAACAUCAAUUGAUAAGCGUUUAAUCAUGGUCUUAUCAACAUGAUGGGUGUCGAUCUCGCGGUGUUUCCAUGCCGGGCGGAGUGGAGGAUGCCGCUUGCAUAGCUGCUUCAUCCGAAGGAUCGCCAUGACGAUGAUGCCAUCGCUUGACUAGGCGAGCCGAGGCAGGAUGCGAAGGCGGAGGUUGCCGCUCCCGCAGCUGCUCGGCCCUCUCUCCCUUGGUGUCGAGUUCUUCUUCGACCUUGGCCGUACACCGAGAGAGGAAAGGACACGAUGGAUGUCAACAUGAGAAGGGCAGAGGACGUGCUGGCGCACAAAUGGCUCCUGGAGCUGGCUAAGGAUUCGGUGCAGCGCCAGGCUUUCGCCGUGGGGAUCGUGCAAGUGAUUUUUUUGUCCCUCCUCGCGACACUCGGAAUAAUAUAGGAAUGCAAUUCGGUGCUAAACUGAUGGAGUCAAAAUUCGACUAUCUGCAAUUUUAUUAUCUGGUCUGAAUCUGUGCUGAUCGUCCCUGGUUGGCCUCGUUGGGUUGGGGGUUAAGUUUUUUGUAGUUGGGAUUUCCUAUACUUAUAUAUGGUGAUACAAAGUUGUACUUGUUAGUAGUUAAUGUAUGAAAAAUAAGCAGGAUUCAUGCUCC
Long non-coding RNA from Triticum aestivum (bread wheat), 2231 nucleotides. RefSeq lists it as uncharacterized. Lineage: Eukaryota; Viridiplantae; Streptophyta; Magnoliopsida; Poales; Poaceae. The record is from RefSeq and is a predicted model, not a curated record. The transcript has 3 exons.